Molecule: small RNA, 107 nt
Filed under: Poritiphilus flavus
Lineage: Bacteria; Pseudomonadati; Bacteroidota; Flavobacteriia; Flavobacteriales; Flavobacteriaceae
Description: 6S-Flavo RNA
Rfam family: 6S-Flavo RNA
Source: Rfam by way of RNAcentral
ACUCAACACUAAUUUGUUUGAAAAGGGUGAGUUUAGUUUGUAAAAGCAGGCCUUCUCGAAAGGAUCCUUGAUCAAGCUGUUAGCCCUAAACCUGUUUAUUGGAGUUU